Molecule: transfer RNA, 74 nt
Filed under: Rosistilla ulvae
Lineage: Bacteria; Pseudomonadati; Planctomycetota; Planctomycetia; Pirellulales; Pirellulaceae
Also listed under: 2 other names
Description: Planctomycetes bacterium EC9 tRNA-Phe
Rfam family: tRNA
About the family: Transfer RNA (tRNA) molecules are approximately 80 nucleotides in length. Their secondary structure includes four short double-helical elements and three loops (D, anti-codon, and T loops).
Source: RNAcentral
GGUCGGGUAGCUCAGUUGGUAGAGCAAUGGAUUGAAAAUCCAUGUGUCGGCGGUUCGAUCCCGCCCCCGACCAC